Molecule: ribosomal RNA, 951 nt
Filed under: Hepatozoon sp.
Lineage: Eukaryota; Apicomplexa; Hepatozoidae
Description: SSU rRNA
Rfam family: Eukaryotic small subunit ribosomal RNA
Source: RNAcentral
UUUUGCCGAGGUAGUGUCCAUCAUGCUUGUCUUAAAGAUUAAGCCAUGCAUGUCUAAGUAUAAGCAACAAUACAGUAAAACUGCAAAUGGCUCAUUACAACAGUUAUAGUUUCUUUGAUAACAAACGUUUACAUGGAUAACCGUAGUAAUUCUAGAGCUAAUACAUGAGCACAUUCUCAACUGUUUUAGAAGAGAAGCAUUUAUUAGAUAAAAAACCAAUAUAUGUUUCUAAGCAUAAAAGUUGGUGACUUACAAUAACUAAGCAAAUCGCACAGUGCAAACUGGCGAUAAGUCAUUCAAGUUUCUGACCUAUCAGCUUUCGACGGUAUGGUAUUGGCUUACCGUGGCAGUGACGGUUAACGGGGGAUUAGGGUUCGAUUCCGGAGAGGGAGCCUGAGAAACGGCUACCACAUCUAAGGAAGGCAGCAGGCGCGCAAAUUACCCAAUUCUAACAGCAUAAGAGAGGUAGUGACAAGAAAUAACAGUACAAGGCAGUUAAAAUGCUUUGUAAUUGGAAUGAUAGAAAUUUAAAUACUUUUUAAAGUAUCAAUUGGAGGGCAAGUCUGGUGCCAGCAGCCGCGGUAAUUCCAGCUCCAAUAGCGUAUAUUAAAAUUGUUGCAGUUAAAAAGCUCGUAGUUGAAUUUCUGCUAAAAAUAACCGGUCUGCUUUUAUUAAUAAAAGUGGUAUCUUGGUGUGUUUUUAGCAAUAAUGUCCUUUGAAUUGUUUUUUACUUUAUUGUUAAAAGCAAAUUUUAGGAUUUUUACUUUGAGAAAAUUAGAGUGUUUCAAGCAGGCUAACGUUUUGAAUACUGCAGCAUGGAAUAAUAAAAUAGGAUUUUUAGUUCUACGUUAUUGGUUUUUAAGAACUAAAUUAAUGAUUGAUAGGGGCAGUUGGGGGGCAUUUGUAUUUAACUGUCAGAGUUGAAUCCCCCUCGUAUAUAGAAUUUGGAGA